This 506-nucleotide ribosomal RNA is filed under the name uncultured bacterium. RNAcentral describes it as "partial 16S ribosomal RNA". It matches the Rfam family "Bacterial small subunit ribosomal RNA", at positions 29 to 523 of the family's 1533-position model. The record is from RNAcentral.
AGUGAACGCUGGCGGUAGGCCUAACACAUGCAAGUCGAACGGCAGCACAGGAGAGCUUGCUCUCUGGGUGGCGAGUGGCGGACGGGUGAGGAAUACAUCGGAAUCUACUCUGUCGUGGGGGAUCACGUAGGGAAACUUACGCUAAUACCGCAUAUGACCUACGGGUGAAAGCAGGGGACCUUCGGGCCUUGCGCGAUUGAAUGAGCCGAUGUCGGAUUAGCUAGUUGGCGGGGUAAAGGCCCACCAAGGCGACGAUCCGUAGCUGGUCUGGAGGGAGGAUCAGCCGCACGGGAACAGAGACACGGUCCAGACUCCUACGGGAGGCAGCAGUGGGGAAUAUUGGACAAUGGGCGCAAGCCUGAUCCAGCCAUACCGCGCGGGUGAAGAAGGCCUUCGGGUUGUAAAGCCCUUUUGUUGGGAAAGAAGUCCAGCUGGCUAAUACCCGGUUGGGAUGACGGUACCCAAAGAAUAAGCACCGACUAACUUCGUGCCAGCAGCCGCCGUAA